Molecule: non-coding RNA, 96 nt
Filed under: Paenibacillus ferrarius
Lineage: Bacteria; Bacillati; Bacillota; Bacilli; Caryophanales; Paenibacillaceae
Description: c-di-GMP sequence
Rfam family: c-di-GMP-I riboswitch aptamer
About the family: GEMM was predicted in a large-scale screen for bacterial structured RNA regulatory elements. Genes associated with GEMM are involved in a diverse array of functions, including chemotaxis regulation, signal transduction, secretion and chitin.
Source: Rfam by way of RNAcentral
GUACGAUAAAGGCAAAACCAUUGAAAAGUGGUGACGCAAAGCUAUAGGGACUAAAUUGGCAUUAUCCAAUGCUCAAAAUGUCAGCCAGCUACCGGU